GACGAACGCUGGCGGCGUGCUUAGCACAUGCAAGUCGAACGGAAAGGCCCUGCUUUUGUGGGGUGCUCGAGUGGCGAACGGGUGAGUAACACGUGAGUAACCUGCCCUUGACUUUGGGAUAACUUCAGGAAACUGGGGCUAAUACCGGAUAGGAGCUCCUGCUGCAUGGUGGGGGUUGGAAAGUUUCGGCGGUUGGGGAUGGACUCGCGGCUUAUCAGCUUGUUGGUGGGGUAGUGGCUUACCAAGGCUUUGACGGGUAGCCGGCCUGAGAGGGUGACCGGCCACAUUGGGACUGAGAGACGGCCCAGACUCCUACGGGAGGCAGCAGUGGGGAAUAUUGCACAAUGGGCGGAAGCCUGAUGCAGCAACGCCGCGUGCGGGAUGACGGCCUUCGGGUUGUAAACCGCUUUCGCCUGUGACGAAGCGUGAGUGACGGUAAUGGGUAAAGAAGCACCGGCUAACUACGUG
RNAcentral lists this ribosomal RNA (468 nucleotides) under uncultured bacterium. RNAcentral's name for it is "partial 16S ribosomal RNA". It matches the Rfam family "Bacterial small subunit ribosomal RNA", at positions 28 to 507 of the family's 1533-position model. The record is from RNAcentral.